This is a long non-coding RNA of Talpa occidentalis (Iberian mole), 422 nucleotides long. RefSeq lists it as uncharacterized. The transcript has 3 exons. Lineage: Eukaryota; Metazoa; Chordata; Mammalia; Eulipotyphla; Talpidae. The record is from RefSeq and is a predicted model, not a curated record.
AUGAUGCCCUCUCUCCCCGUUACUUCAAGACCGCAGCCCCAGAGACCCCUCCAUUACAGCUCUCCACCUCAAAGAGGCUCUUCCAGACUAGGUCCUGGGGUGCUGCUGCCUGUCUAUGCUCUGUCUGUACACCCCAUCGACCUCUGUCUGGCCUACCUGGCGUGAAGAAAGGGAAGGCUGCAAUACUGGUAACCUGAGAGACUCUGCCUUUCCUGCCUCUACAUCUGGAAGACUGGACUCUGAAGGCCUGGGCCUCAGAGACCAGCCGUGCCCCUGGAUGAAGUCUCUUUCCCACCAUGCUUGACUCUCCGCUCCAAGAGGACAGGAACUGUUUGUUUUGUCUACCGCUGCUUCCCCAGCACCAAGAAUGGAGACUGGUACACCUAGGUGAUUCCUGACUGACUAAAUGGGAGGGGAGCUCA